UGAGGAAUAUUGGUCAAUGGGCGCAAGCCUGAACCAGCCAUCCCGCGUGCAGGAAGACGGCCCUAUGGGUUGUAAACUGCUUUUCCAGGGGGAGAAUUUUUCUGUCGUGACAGGAAUUGACGGUACCCUGGGACUAAGCAUCGGCUAACUCCGUGCCAGCGGCCGCGGUAAUACGGAGGAUGCGAGCGUUAUCCGGAUUUAUUGGGUUUAAAGGGUGCGUAGGCGGAUUGAUAAGUCAGUGGUGAAAACCUGCAGCUUAACUGUAGACUUGCCGCUGAUACUGUCAGUCUUGAGUGUGGUCAAGGUAGGCGGAAUGUGUAAUGUAGCGGUGAAAUGCUUAGAUAUUACACAGAACACCGAUUGCGAAGGCAGCUUACUGGGCCAUUACUGACGCUGAUGCACGAAAGCGUGGGGAUCGAACAG
This 423-nucleotide ribosomal RNA is filed under the name uncultured bacterium. RNAcentral's name for it is "bacterial SSU rRNA". It matches the Rfam family "Bacterial small subunit ribosomal RNA", at positions 355 to 775 of the family's 1533-position model. The record is from RNAcentral.